CAAAUUGUUGAUACAUUUAUGUCGCCAUAACGAUCUCAUUUUGAGAGAACUAAGAAAUCGAUCUAAAGGUUCUAAAGGUGUAAUGUGAAGUGAGAUUUUGGCAAUCAAUUCCUGAUUGGCUAAUGCCAGAGGUCUUUGUUAUGUUGUGAGUUAUUGAUACUUGCAUCUGUUGCCAUAUGUGUACAAUCACAGUGAUGCUAGAUUGUAUAUGCACAUUAGCAUGAUUACACAAAAAUUCAUUUGAAUUAUUUUCUUGUUAAUCAUGUCAAAUGGAGGGAAUGUGAAUGCUAAGGGGUUUCUGCAACAAAAGGAUUUAUCAGGCUAAUAAGACCUUAAUGAAAUGGUACAUAUGGGAUGCUCUACUGAUGUCCUGAUAUAGAGCUGUUGUCUGCUGAUGAUAUGUUUUUGAAAAAGAUAUGCAGAAUUGCUGAAUGUCACUGAGGUGAAAUGGUGAAGUCCUCUCAAGUGCAGAACUAUAUGCGAAUUCUAUUCGUCAGUUUUGGUUUUGGAAACAUGUAAGUUAGUCACAGAAGGAUAUGGCAGAAACACCUUCGGUGCAAGUGAUGUUGGAUUGAUUCAUCAAUGGGCUUGAAGGUAUGCAACUCAGUGAGGUAUCUGAUUGUGCAUGAAGCAUGUAUAACAAUAGCAAUUUGCGUUUUCUUUCCCUAUUUUUAACUCUGUACAACUCAAAUGACAUGGAUAUUUAUUUUAUAUCCUUUGCCGGCACUAUUGGCAGCUAAGAAUUCUGCUAUCAUUUUCAACUUCAUGGUACUUUAAUAUCUGUAAGUUGAUUGACUGCAGAAAUUAUAUCAGGCCACAGAAAUUUUAUUCAGCUCCUAAAUGAACGUGUCUCAUGAGCAUACCCCUGGCAUUAAGAAUCUCUGCUGAAACCCAGAAGAUGUCUGUUGAAAUAUUAAAGCACAAGGAAGGAAGGCUGUCCAAGAAUCAAAGCUGUCAAAGUGGUUUGUAUUUUGCUUUGCUAUUUUGUUGUACUAAACAAGAAGUUUAGGAAAGAAAAGUUGGAUGUGUAAUUUGACGAUUGCUUAAUAUAGAGCAGUAGUAAAAC
Molecule: long non-coding RNA, 1066 nt
Filed under: Manihot esculenta (cassava)
Lineage: Eukaryota; Viridiplantae; Streptophyta; Magnoliopsida; Malpighiales; Euphorbiaceae
Description: long non-coding RNA (MESC_LNC007614)
Source: RNAcentral